This 300-nucleotide ribosomal RNA is filed under the name Triticum aestivum (bread wheat). Its description in RNAcentral is "partial small subunit ribosomal RNA". Lineage: Eukaryota; Viridiplantae; Streptophyta; Magnoliopsida; Poales; Poaceae. The record is from RNAcentral.
GGAUGCAAUCGGCUAGUCAUUAAUUCGGACAACAUGGAGGUGAUUGAUACCAUGAAGGAAGGAGGAUGGUUGGCGGGGACGGCGGUGGCGGUUUUUUAUGAUUGUUUUUAUUUUGGCAAUGAUUUUACUAUUUCUAGAUUUGAGCAUUGUAAUAGAGAAGCAAAUAAAGUUGCUCAAGAACUUGCUAGAUUGGCAAAAUUUUCUUUGAUUUCUGAUUGGUUCAAGGAGCCAUUAAAUGAAAUUGUCCGAUCCUCAUAAAACGAUGCAAUGGUCAUAUCAAACGAAUAUAAUUCAGAAUAA